AUUGAACGCUGGCGGCAGGCCUAACACAUGCAAGUCGAGCGGAUGAAGGGAGCUUGCUCCUGGAUUCAGCGGCGGACGGGUGAGUAAUGCCUAGGAAUCUGCCUGGUAGUGGGGGAUAACGUCCGGAAACGGGCGCUAAUACCGCAUACGUCCUGAGGGAGAAAGUGGGGGAUCUUCGGACCUCACGCUAUCAGAUGAGCCUAGGUCGGAUUAGCUAGUUGGUGGGGUAAAGGCCUACCAAGGCGACGAUCCGUAACUGGUCUGAGAGGAUGAUCAGUCACACUGGGACUGAGACACGGUCCAGACUCCUACGGGAGGCAGCAGUGGGGAAUAUUGGACAAUGGGCGGAAGCCUGAUCCAGCCAUGCCGCGUGUGUGAAGAAGGUCUUCGGAUUGUAAAGCACUUUAAGUUGGGAGGAAGGGCAGUAAGUUAAUACCUUGCUGUUUUGACGUUACCAACAGAAUAAGCACCGGCUAACUUCGUG
This 484-nucleotide ribosomal RNA is filed under the name uncultured bacterium. RNAcentral describes it as "partial 16S ribosomal RNA". It matches the Rfam family "Bacterial small subunit ribosomal RNA", at positions 30 to 507 of the family's 1533-position model. The record is from RNAcentral.